GGGACGGUAGCUGCGGUGCGGACCGGAGGAGCCAUCUUGUCUCGUCGCCGGGGAGUCAGGCCCCUAAAUCGAAGAAGCCCUGGCGCGCCCUCCCCCCCUCCCGGGUCUGCCUACAGACCUGGUACCUGGAUUUUUGCCCGAGAUGAUUCCUACCACCUUACUACUGACGAAGACACCCAUUCCAGUGGACCACUGUGACCCAGGAGGCAUUCAGCCAUCAUGAUGUGGCCUUUACCUCCACUCCUGUCUUGUUCUACCCAGAUUCAGCACAGCCCUUUAUAGUGAAGUCAGAGUCCUCAAGCCAAAUAGCUAAAGCUGUUUUAUCACAACAAAGGCCUAGUUUGUUCCAUGAGUGUGCAUUUCAUUUCUUCAGUUAAAGCCUUCAGAGACACACAAUAAAUUUGGACCAGGGGAUUUUUUAGUUAUUAAUGCUCUCUGAAGAAAGGCAACAUCUUUUUGAGAGCAGCAUUGGACCACACCCCACAAUCUCAAAUGAUUGAAAUUCAUGAACAUCUAGGAUCCCGUGAAGGUCACUGGACCCUGUUUUUUCUACUUCAAAUCCUGUAGUAGCCUACUGAAUGAGAAAACAUAUUCUGACCCAUUGGGAUCAAAUCAAAGGCACAGUGAACUCCUCAUAGCAUCUUCUUUGGAAUUACUCAGGAACCAGAACUUUUUACACAAAUGUAAGAAAUUCUACCAAGGAGUCCCCUUACCUAACAGCAUCUCACAAGGCUGCACCAGAUUCCAGAAAAGGCUUCUCUUGAUACAUCAAGGUAGAACCUCUAUGCAUUUUGUGACCGACUUAUUCUUAGAUCAUUGGUUUUCCAAAGGCUUUGUGGCCAUGAAGCCCUUUGAGUGAAAACUGUGCAGAAGCCCAGAGUAAAAGUGAAGCUGCUCUGGAUGAAGUAGUGAAGCAAGAGUAGGGGCCUGAAUCCUGCUACAACUAUCUUCCUUUACCACCGUGGUGACACCUAAGGGGACUUCCUUACAACACCUUGAACUCUUCCGAACACAGUUUGAAAACCACUGCCCCAGACAGCAAUAUGUUUGACCUGAAUGGCAUUCCAAUCUUUUCUGUACCUCCACUCAGCACAGUUCAUGUUCAGUAGAUGCUGAACAUUCUUAGAAAUACUGUGUGUGAACUUAGAAAAGUGCAAGAAGACAGGCAUGUCUUUGACCCCAGGAAUGAUCAUUUGCUGAAGAUGGUGUCAAGUGAACCUAGAUUAACAGCCCUCCACUCCAGAUGGAUAUCCAGUGAUUCCUAGAAUGGGAUAUAGCCAGAGAACAAUUCUAUGCACCCUACACUGACAGACUCCCUUAAGCAACACCAGAUGCUCUACUGGUACUUGAAGUACAUGACUUUGAAGUCUUGACCCUCCAUGAAUACCUGAAUUAUCAGCAAGCGGGUUUUGAAGCUGGUGCCUCAUUGAGGCCAUAUUAGAGCAACUUGUACAUUUGACCUCUUGUUAUCAGCCAUGGUACUCUACUUCGUGUGCAAGAGAUAACUAUGAAAGCCAAAUUCAAAUACUGGCAACAUUUCCUAAAGGGGCUCAAUAUCUAUCAUUCGUCUUCUUUUCCAAACUACACAUCACUGUAUGACUCAACCAGUAGCAGUUAUAUUGCCCCUUGGUUUUUAUUCAGUUUAACUACUGUUUCCAAGAUAAAUGAGCUAAUAAGCUUUAAAAAAAAAAAAAAAAAAGGCUGAAUUCUUUUUUCUUCAUCACUGGCAUAUCUGCCUAUUCUCCAGAAUUAUUAUGACUAUUCAGCUCACUUUAACAGUUGAACUUCAAGCGACAAUCUUUGAACACCCCUUCUCAUGUGAUUUAAAAUGAAACCAUUUGGAAAAGUUUCUUCUAGCCAGUAAUAGAUUUUUUUUUUAAUUGCUCUGCCUUGUGCCGAGAGAUGUUCUUUUAAGAUGAAUCUUUUGAUGUCUGAUACCACCAAAUAUAGGUGGUAGGGAGAGUUGGAGGCUGGCCCUUUGAGCAGGCCAUUAGCUUACUUGCUGGGCAUUUCCGAUAGCUUAUUGCCUACCUUUUUGCUGGAAACAAACUGAUUUGAAAAACAAAAUCUAUGAAGACUGCAGCUAAGGAUUUUAUCGGUAGACUUAAGAGCUUUUGUCCUUGUGGAUAUUUUAGUGGAACCACAUCAGUCUCAAUACUGUCAUUUUACACUGACUCAGAGCAGCUGACUUCAUUCCUUGCCAUGAUAUAUAUUUAAGGCAGGCAUUGUAACAGACAUAAAGACAACUUAUCUGUUUCAGCAGGAAGGAUUCAGUUUAUGAACUCUCAGACCAGAUCAUGUUGAACAAGGAGACUUUGAUGUGUGUCAUGAGAAAACUCAUUCUUUACUUCCCAGUCAAUUUAAAGGCCAGCUAUCCUGAGCUACUCGAAUGAAUGCACUGGUUAAACAUUGGAAAUAGUUUGUUUAUAUCCUUGUCUCUCUCUAGGCCAAUUGUGAUUACAUGACUCGACUCUACAUCUCGUCAAACAAGGCCUAGGUCUGGUUGCUGUAGACUGCUCGCCCUCAACAAAUAAAAUCUGGUUGACUAGCCUCCUUGUAUAUACAACUAUUAUUUGUUAAGAAGAAAUUAUCGUCAAUUUUCUACUACCUUCCAAUUGUCAGCUCUUUUUUUCCUCUCUGGUUUUUCCUAUACUUUACAGAAAAAGACAUUGAUCUAUACUGCCAUUCCCUCUAAUCCUGCCAUACUCAGUCAAAAGGAAUGACUUAAGAUGAAGAUGAUCAUCUGCUCGAGUCUAAAAUAUACAUUGUAUAUAAGAAUUGGUGAUUAGAAAAGCAAAAAACCUAAAACUUAAAUCUAGGAGUCUGUAUACUGUCUCCAUGUCUCCAUGCCUCAGAUCUCAUCUAAAUCUUUGAACAGCACCAUUCAACCAAUCUGAGGCCUUGACUUGCUUGUAAGAUGAUUCUCAGAGAUCGGCUGAGUUAAAAAAGAUGACGACUUGAUUACCAAAGAAAGUAGGGCCAACUUUGACAAAUCUGGCUCUGCUGACCCUGUCACUCCCAGAUGUAGCAUAGACUCCUAAACAGAACCUCAAGUCUGAUUGAGGAUAAGGCCUUCUCCUGAGCUGAAAGUUCUUUGGCAGAUGAGCAAGAAACUGAAAGCUGAUGUACCUGACUGGCUCUGUAAGAUCAGAAAACUGUAUCCAGAAUAAGCCCUAUGGAUUAACCCCUGAGUACCCAGAGUAAAAACUAAUUUACAGAACUUCCUUAUUGAUCUGCUGGUUCUUCCAGAUCAUAUUCUGGCUAUUGGUAUGGCUGGCCUUUCUGAAGGUACCCUGCUUGUCUAUUUUCCUGACUCAGCUCUUGCCUGCCUUUUUCACAUGUUGCUGCAAUUAGACUCACCGUGAGGACUACAGUCAAUUUCAGUCUAUCUUGUGCCCAAUACAACAAGGAUUUUUAAUAGUAACAACCCACACCUCACCCACUAGGACUCAAUGUUCACAACAGGAAGGACCAUUGCUGCAUACUCCUUGACCAGCAACUUUUUUGAAGAUAUUUUUAAGUGCAGAGUAGGCCUCUAUUCCUGUAUGUAAUUGUUCAUUUUCAGCACCUGGAACCUCAUCUAUCGGGUCUGGAAGGAAUACAGCAGUUCGAAAGCCGCGUCCAUUUCUCUCCUUCAGUAGUGCAGAAAUGAGUCCGAUUCACCAGUACACACAGAACUGUACCAGUUCAACCUAGCAAAAGAAGAAAAGUUUCCACUGUACUUAAAAUUUACAGCUGACUCAAAUUGCCUCACAGAAUUAUUUGAUGUAGAAGGCUAGUUGUCUUACUUCAGAUCAGCAGGACAGUUGGGCUCUCAGACUCAUGACCACUGAGUUUGCUUGUGUUGAAACUGUGGUUUCAUCCAACAUAUGCUAUUGGACAUGAUUAUUAUUCCAUUCAAAUGGAUUACAGACUUCUUGAGGACAGGACAAACUUAUCUCUCAUGGUGUUUUUUUAGAAUACUUUUAUAACCAAGGAAGAAACCAUGCCAGCUGUUACCAUUCAACUUCUUAAGCAGAGAUUAAGCUUUUUCAUAUCUGUUCUUAUCCUGGACAUCAGUAGUUUUUAAUUGCCCAGCAUCCGUUCCAUCUUGUAACAACUCCCUGAUGUUUCUUAAAACCACCUCUUCCUAUUUUCAGUCUGUGGUUUGGACAGUCUGACCCAACCUUGAGCUUUGUGGGUGAACAUGUAAUUCAGACCUCAUCAAUCAGCAAAUCCAUCUGAACUGUGGAGGAGAAGCUCUCUUUACUGAGGGUGCUUUAGCUUUGUAGGAUGAAAACCUCAAACUAACAGGGCCUACCAUGUAGAGAAUGAAGCCAGUGCAGGGGAAAGCAGAGCCAAAAUAUGGAGAGACUUGAAUCCUGAUGACAGCGUUUGUGCCCCUGGAUCCAACCGUGCCUGAAGCUAGAAUAUCCCCUGGACUUUUCAGUUAUGUGAACCAAUAAAUAC
This 4449-nucleotide long non-coding RNA is filed under the name Homo sapiens (human). RNAcentral describes it as "non-protein coding TUG1:63". The stretch from base 603 to 783 matches the Rfam family "Taurine upregulated gene 1 conserved region 4". Lineage: Eukaryota; Metazoa; Chordata; Mammalia; Primates; Hominidae. The record is from RNAcentral.